RNAcentral lists this ribosomal RNA (253 nucleotides) under uncultured bacterium. RNAcentral describes it as "partial 16S ribosomal RNA". It matches the Rfam family "Bacterial small subunit ribosomal RNA", at positions 524 to 776 of the family's 1533-position model. The record is from RNAcentral.
GACGAACCGAGCGACCGUUGUUCGGAAUCACUGGGCUUAAAGGGCGCGUAGGCGGGGAUUCAAGUCUAUGGUGAAAUCCGGCAGCUCAACUGUCGAGUUGCCGUGGAUACUGGGUAUCUCGAGGGAGGUAGGGGCGUGCGGAACUAAUGGUGGAGCGGUGAAAUGCGUUGAUAUCAUUAGGAACUCCGGUGGCGAAGGCGGCACGCUGGACCUCUUCUGACGCUGAGGCGCGAAAGCCAGGGGAGCAAACGGG